CUGUCAGACGACGCGGGGUGUGCUAUACAUGCAAGUCGAGCGGACAGAUGGGAGCUGCUCCUGAUGUAGCGGCGGACGGGUGAGUAACACGUGGGUAACUGCCUGUAAGACUGGGAUAACUCCGGGAAACCGGGGCUAAUACCGGAUGCUUGUUUGAACCGCAUGGUUCAAACAUAAAAGGUGGCUUCGGCUACCACUUACAGAUGGACCCGCGGCGCAUAGCUAGUUGGUGAGGUAAUGGCUCACCAAGGCAACGAUGCGUAGCCGACCUGAGAGGGUGAUCGGCCACACUGGGACUGAGACACGGCCCAGACUCCUACGGGAGGCAGCAGUAGGGAAUCUUCCGCAAUGGACGAAAGUCUGACGGAGCAACGCCGCGUGAGUGAUGAAGGUUUUCGGAUCGUAAAGCUCUGUUGUUAGGGAAGAACAAGUACCGUUCGAAUAGGGCGGUACCUUGACGGUACCUAACCAGAAAGCCACGGCUAACUACGUGCCAGCAGCCGCGGUAAUACGUAGGUGGCAAGCGUUGUCCGGAAUUAUUGGGCGUAAAGGGCUCGCAGGCGGUUUCUUAAGUCUGAUGUGAAAGCCCCCGGCUCAACCGGGGAGGGUCAUUGGAAACUGGGGAACUUGAGUGCAGAAGAGGAGAGUGGAAUUCCACGUGUAGCGGUGAAAUGCGUAGAGAUGUGGAGGAACACCAGUGGCGAAGGCGACUCUCUGGUCUGUAACUGACGCUGAGGAGCGAAAGCGUGGGGAGCGAACAGGAUUAGAUACCCUGGUAGUCCACGCCGUAAACGAUGAGUGCUAAGUGUUAGGGGGUUUCCGCCCCUUAGUGCUGCAGCUAACGCAUUAAGCACUCCGCCUGGGGAGUACGGUCGCAAGACUGAAACUCAAAGGAAUUGACGGGGGCCCGCACAAGCGGUGGAGCAUGUGGUUUAAUUCGAAGCAACGCGAAGAACCUUACCAGGUCUUGACAUCCUCUGACAAUCCUAGAGAUAGGACGUCCCCUUCGGGGGCAGAGUGACAGGUGG
RNAcentral lists this ribosomal RNA (1028 nucleotides) under Bacillus sp. (in: firmicutes). RNAcentral describes it as "bacterial SSU rRNA". It matches the Rfam family "Bacterial small subunit ribosomal RNA", at positions 26 to 1041 of the family's 1533-position model. The record is from RNAcentral. Lineage: Bacteria; Bacillati; Bacillota; Bacilli; Caryophanales; Bacillaceae.